Molecule: long non-coding RNA, 305 nt
Filed under: Ursus maritimus (polar bear)
Lineage: Eukaryota; Metazoa; Chordata; Mammalia; Carnivora; Ursidae
Description: lncRNA (ENSUMAG00000012624.1)
Source: RNAcentral
CUGGCGCUCCACACAGGCACGUUGGCUCAGAUUCACGCCACGACUGCAAAAAUAACUUGGAAAUGCUGAACUAUAGCGCCUUGUUUUGGUCAUCACAAAACUCCAUACAAUGUGAAAUUAUGAGCAAAAUAUCAAAUGAGGAUUUCCUGAGAAAAACGUUUGGUGUGAUUCCUCUGGAGAUGUCAACUCUGCUGCUGCUACUACUACUGAAUUGUGAAUUAGCCUGUAUUCUUCUUAAGCCUUGCAUCCUAUGUGUCUUGCCUCUUCAAAUCUACUGCCUCUUCAAAUCCACCUCUGGUGGAUGA